AACGUAGGUGGCGAGCGUUAUCCGGAUUCAUUGGGCGUAAAGAGCUUGUAGGUGGCCGUGUAAGUUGGACGUGAAAACUCCGGGCUUAACUUGGAGAGGCCGUUCAAUACUGCACAGCUAGAGGAUGUCAGAGGGAAGUAGAAUUCCUGGUGUAGCAGUGAAAUGCGUAGAUAUCAGGAGGAAUACCCGUGGCGAAGGCGGCUUCCUGGGACAUAACUGACACUGAGAAGCGAAAGCUAGGGGAGCAAACGGG
RNAcentral lists this ribosomal RNA (253 nucleotides) under uncultured bacterium. RNAcentral describes it as "partial 16S ribosomal RNA". It matches the Rfam family "Bacterial small subunit ribosomal RNA", at positions 524 to 776 of the family's 1533-position model. The record is from RNAcentral.